RNAcentral lists this ribosomal RNA (292 nucleotides) under uncultured bacterium. Its description in RNAcentral is "partial 16S ribosomal RNA". It matches the Rfam family "Bacterial small subunit ribosomal RNA", at positions 773 to 1060 of the family's 1533-position model. The record is from RNAcentral.
GUGGAUUAGAUACCCUGGUUGUCCUAGCUGUAAACGGUGCUUGCUUGCUGUGAGAGGAAUCGACCCCUUUCGUGGCGGAGCUAACGCGAUAAGCAAGCCGCCUGGGGAGUACGGUCGCAAGAUUAAAACUCAAAGAAAUUGACGGGGGCCUGCACAAGCGGUGGAGUAUGUGGCUUAAUUCGAUGCAACGCGAAGAACCUUACCUGGCCUUGACAUGCACGUAGUAGGAGUGUGAAAGCAUAACGAUCCCGCAAGGGAAGCGUGCACAGGUGCUGCACGGCCGUCGACAGCU